This 338-nucleotide non-coding RNA is filed under the name Solanum tuberosum (potato). Its description in RNAcentral is "Eukaryotic large subunit ribosomal RNA". It matches the Rfam family "Eukaryotic large subunit ribosomal RNA", at positions 1910 to 2342 of the family's 3401-position model. The record is from Rfam by way of RNAcentral. Lineage: Eukaryota; Viridiplantae; Streptophyta; Magnoliopsida; Solanales; Solanaceae.
GAAGUCGGAAAAAUGGAUCCGUAACUUCGGGAAAAGGAUUGACUCUGAGAGCUGGGCACGGGGUCCCAGUCCCAAAUCCGUCAGCUGUCGGUGAACUGCUCGAGCUGCUCCCACGGCGAGAGCGGGUCGCCGUGUGCCGAUCGGGGGACGGAGUGGGAACGGUUCCUUCCGGGGCCUUCCUCGAGUGUCGAACAACCAACUCAGAAUUGGUACGGACAAGGGGAAUCCGACUGUUUAAUUAAAACAAAGCAUUGCGAUGGUCCCAACGGAUGUUUACGCAAUGUGAUUUCGUCGAACAACCAACUCAGAAUUGGUACGGACAAGGGGAAUCCGACUGU